AGACCCGAAACCCGGUGAUCUAGCCAUGGGCAGGUUGAAGGUUGGGUAACACUAACUGGAGGACCGAACCGACUAAUGUUGAAAAAUUAGCGGAUGACCUGUGGCUGGGGGUGAAAGGCCAAUCAAACCGGGAGAUAGCUGGUUCUCCCCGAAAGCUAUUUAGGUAGCGCCUCGUGAAUUCAUCUCCGGGGGUAGAGCACUGUUUCGGCUAGGGGGCCAUCCCGGCUUACCAACCCGAUGCAAACUGCGAAUACCGGAGAAUGUUAUCACGGGAGACACACGGCGGGUGCUAACGUCCGUCGUGAAGAGGGAAACAACCCAGACCGCCAGCUAAGGUCCCAAAGUCAUGGUUAAGUGGGAAACGAUGUGGGAAGGCCCAGACAGCCAGGAUGUUGGCUUAGAAGCAGCCAUCAUUUAAAGAAAGCGUAAUAGCUCACUGGUCGAGUCGGCCUGCGCGGAAGAUGUAACGGGGCUAAACCAUGCACCGAAGCUGCGGCAGCGAACGUAUCACUUAAAGCGAUUCAGCGGGUUACGAUUGACGGAGCGAAGCGACGUCAAAGCGUAUACAAAGUCGAGUCGGUUUAAGGAUACGUUCGUUGGGUAGGGGAGCGUUCUGUAAGCCUGUGAAGGUGUGUCGUGAGGCAUGCUGG
This 650-nucleotide ribosomal RNA is filed under the name Salmonella enterica subsp. enterica serovar Infantis. RNAcentral describes it as "partial 23S ribosomal RNA". It matches the Rfam family "Bacterial large subunit ribosomal RNA", at positions 711 to 1276 of the family's 2925-position model. The record is from RNAcentral. Lineage: Bacteria; Pseudomonadati; Pseudomonadota; Gammaproteobacteria; Enterobacterales; Enterobacteriaceae.